RNAcentral lists this ribosomal RNA (436 nucleotides) under uncultured marine bacterium. RNAcentral's name for it is "bacterial SSU rRNA". It matches the Rfam family "Bacterial small subunit ribosomal RNA", at positions 958 to 1395 of the family's 1533-position model. The record is from RNAcentral.
AACGCGAAGAACCUUACCAGGGCUUAAAUGUAGUUUGACCGGCUUAGAAAUAGGCUUUCUCUUCGGAGCAAAUUACAAGGUGCUGCAUGGUUGUCGUCAGCUCGUGCCGUGAGGUGUUAGGUUAAGUCCUGCAACGAGCGUAACCCCUAUUCUUAGUUGCCAGCGGUUCGGCCGGGGACUCUAAGAAGACUGCCAGCGCAAGCUGUGAGGAAGGUGGGGAUGACGUCAAAUCAUCACGGCCCUUACGUCCUGGGCUACACACGUGCUACAAUGGUAGAGACAGAGGGCAGCCACCUGGUGACAGGGAGCGAAUCCUUAAACUCUAUCUCAGUUCGGAUCGAAGUCUGCAACCCGACUUCGUGAAGCUGGAAUCGCUAGUAAUCGCGCAUCAGCCAUGGCGCGGUGAAUACGUUCCCGGGUCUUGUACACACCGAAU